AAUAGUCAAACAAAUUAGCGAUGAGGCCACCAGGAGAGUAUAUUCAACCCCAAUUCAGAGAUGUCUCGGUUUAUCAGUUUUCUGUCAAUCAUUAAAACAAGAAAAAUGAAACAUGCAAUUAUAUAUAAGGAGACAGAACUCUGAAGUCUUUCAUCCUUGCUGAAGCAGAAGAGUUUUAAUUGCUUGGAAAAAAAAGAUUUUUGUUUU
This is an unclassified non-coding RNA of Dasypus novemcinctus (nine-banded armadillo), 207 nucleotides long. NCBI's taxonomy places the organism in Eukaryota, Metazoa, Chordata, Mammalia, Cingulata, Dasypodidae. The record is from Ensembl.